GUCUAUGGCCAUGCCGCCCUGAACAAGCCCAAUCUUGGCUGAUUUCAGAAGCUAAGCAGGGUGGGGCCUAGUUAGUACUUGGAUGGGAGACCACCUAGGAAGACCAGGUGCUAAAGGCG
This is a ribosomal RNA of Pteropus vampyrus (large flying fox), 119 nucleotides long. Lineage: Eukaryota; Metazoa; Chordata; Mammalia; Chiroptera; Pteropodidae. The record is from Ensembl.